Small nuclear RNA from Sabethes cyaneus, 154 nucleotides. RefSeq annotates it as U4 spliceosomal RNA. The record is from RefSeq and is a predicted model, not a curated record. The transcript has a single exon. NCBI's taxonomy places the organism in Eukaryota, Metazoa, Arthropoda, Insecta, Diptera, Culicidae.
AGCUUUGUGAUAGUAACCAAUGAGGUUCUGCCGAGGUGCGAUUACUGCUAGUUGAAAACUAACUCACAUGUAUUUUUUAGAGAAAGUUUUUUUUCUAUUUUAUUUAUUUGGAUACAAGCGAUGAAAAAAUUCAGUUUUUGACAUACCCCCGGAU